GUUGGUGAGGUAACGGCUCACCAAGGCGACGAUGCGUAGCCGGCCUGAGAGGGUGACCGGCCACACUGGGACUGAGACACGGCCCAGACUCCUACGGGAGGCAGCAGUAGGGAAUCUUCCGCAAUGGGCGAAAGCCUGACGGAGCGACGCCGCGUGAGCGAAGAAGGCCUUCGGGUCGUAAAGCUCUGUUGUGAGGGACGAAGGAGCGUCGUUCGAAGAGGGCGGCGCAGUGACGGUACCUCACGAGAAAGCCCCGGCUAACUACGUGCCAGCAGCCGCGGUAAUACGUAGGGGGCGAGCGUUGUCCGGAAUUAUUGGGCGUAAAGCGCGCGCAGGCGGUCUCUUAAGUCUGAUGUGAAAGCCCACGGCUCAACCGUGGAGGGUCAUUGGAAACUGGGGGACUUGAGGGCAGGAGAGGAGAGCGGAAUUCCACGUGU
This 437-nucleotide ribosomal RNA is filed under the name Geobacillus stearothermophilus. Its description in RNAcentral is "bacterial SSU rRNA". It matches the Rfam family "Bacterial small subunit ribosomal RNA", at positions 248 to 676 of the family's 1533-position model. The record is from RNAcentral. Lineage: Bacteria; Bacillati; Bacillota; Bacilli; Caryophanales; Anoxybacillaceae.